CGGGGUGUAGCGCAGAGGUAGCGCAGUUGCUUUGGGAGCAACAGGUCGCCGGUUCGAUCCCGGCCACCCCGACCA
Molecule: transfer RNA, 75 nt
Filed under: Acidobacteriota bacterium
Lineage: Bacteria; Pseudomonadati; Acidobacteriota
Description: Acidobacteria bacterium (bioreactor metagenome) tRNA-Pro
Rfam family: tRNA
About the family: Transfer RNA (tRNA) molecules are approximately 80 nucleotides in length. Their secondary structure includes four short double-helical elements and three loops (D, anti-codon, and T loops).
Source: RNAcentral